ACGAACGCUGGCGGCGUGCCUAAUACAUGCAAGUUGAGCGAUGAAGAUUGGUGCUUGCACCAAUUUGAAGAGCAGCGAACGGGUGAGUAACGCGUGGGGAAUCUGCCUUUGAGCGGGGGACAACAUUUGGAAACGAAUGCUAAUACCGCAUAACAACUUUAAACAUAAGUUUUAAGUUUGAAAGAUGCAAUUGCAUCACUCAAAGAUGAUCCCGCGUUGUAUUAGCUAGUUGGUGAGGUAAAGGCUCACCAAGGCGAUGAUACAUAGCCGACCUGAGAGGGUGAUCGGCCACAUUGGGACUGAGACACGACCCAAACUCCUACGGGAGGCAGCAGUAGGGAAUCUUCGGCAGUAGACGAAAGUCUGACCGAGCAACGCCGCGUGAGUGAAGAAGGUUUUCGGAUCGUAAAACUCUGUUGGUAGAGAAGAACGUUGGUGAGAGUGGAAAGCUCAUCAAGUGACGGUAACUACCCAGAAAGGGACGGCUAACUACGUG
This 496-nucleotide ribosomal RNA is filed under the name uncultured bacterium. RNAcentral describes it as "partial 16S ribosomal RNA". It matches the Rfam family "Bacterial small subunit ribosomal RNA", at positions 29 to 507 of the family's 1533-position model. The record is from RNAcentral.